RNAcentral lists this small nuclear RNA (107 nucleotides) under Nannospalax galili (Upper Galilee mountains blind mole rat). The record is from RNAcentral. Lineage: Eukaryota; Metazoa; Chordata; Mammalia; Rodentia; Spalacidae.
GUGCUCACUUUAGCAGCACAUAUACUAAAAUCUGAACAGUGCAAAGAAGACUAGUGUGGAACCUGUGCACAAAUGACAUGAAAAUUCAUGAAACGGUCCGUAUUAAA